AUGGCUGAGAUGGUCAAGUCUGUCAUUGUUGGGGAGGUAGUUAGCCGGAUUAUUUCUGGUAUUGCCCCCACCAGCAAAAACGAGGGCAAAUCAGAUGAAGAAGCAGGAGGAGGAGGUGGCCUAGAGAGGCUGGAGAUGGCGCGCAUCAAAAUGGAGGCCGCCCUUCAGGCGUCCGACAGGUGGCAGAUCACCGACAUGUCGCUGCUCCAUUGGCGGAAGAAGCUCAAGCGCGCCGCUCAGGACUGUGACAACGAAGCGCGCAGAUGCAGGCAACUUUCUUGGGAAGAACAUGAGGCAGAGCAGGUGGUAAGGAAAUCCUCAUUUCCCAUACGUGUCGCUCAUGCAACCAAGGCAUUCAUCUCCUCUCGUGCUGGCUGCAACAAUGAUCAUUCCUCUGCGGGCAGUGCCACUGCCGUGGCCAUCCGAAAAUUUGAGUGGUAUGCAGAAGGCGCUGGUGAAUUUAUCAAAUACGUGCAACUCGGCGGGACACCACGUCAACACCUAUUCUUUGACCCUCUCAUUGGGCAUAUCUUCGCAGGCAAAAGACUGGUGUAUGAGUUGUUGCAUCCAGGAGGACGAUAUCAGUUCUUCGGCGUAAGAUCGAUGAGUUUCGAGGAGAGAGGGCUGGAGGCCAUGGUAUCCUUUGUGUAUGAAGAUUGCAAGAUGCCAAAUAGUAGUUUUUGCUUCGGGUUCAUGAUGCGCCUUUCGAAGAGUACGGACAUAAUUGGAACUACGGUCAGUUGCUUGCGACUGGUGAACCCUCACUUCAAGUCCAUGGCCGACGCCAUCAUAAAAGAGAUCACACAGCUACCCACGCAAGAUUUCUCAUGGGUGCCGACAGAAGUUAAGAACAGCCACACAGAGUACUGGAACAGCAUCCACCGAACUUUGACAGGAUGGUUCCGCCCAGACCCACUAUGUUGUCAGGGAUAUGAUCAUGACAGCGUGCCUUUAUGUUGUAGUGGCGGUGAUGCCAAGGGCAACAAUGGAAACAAAUUUAUGCUUUCGAGCGAGUUUCCAGAACCAGUAUGCCAAAUGUUUUUGCAACGUCACAUCUCACUUUCCGAGUAUAAUAACCUGCUGCUGCCAGGACCAACCACAAUCUCAGGUUAUGAGGACACUGCUCCAGAGAAUUUCCCACCUUUGAAGCUAGGAAUCUUAUUUAUGCCUCAUGAUUCUCUAGAGGAAGGCCCCAAGUCUGCUGGCGAGGGCUCUGCCAUAGAGGCGAUAGAUGGAGAGAAGCAAGGCCUUACACAUGCGAAUGUUCACCCACACCAACUUGCUGACAUCUUGCUGCCCAAGGCGAUAACUCAUCUUUAUACUAACACUCAGGCUACGACUUACCAGAUAUGUUGGACGUCAAACCAUGGCAGUGCACACAUGUGCGUGGAGAAGACAAGAACACUCAAACGAUGCAGUGGCAUCAGAUCAACACGGCGAGGUAGGAAACUUAAGAGCACGAGUACUAGGGUGCGUUGUCAUAUGCAGCAGAUUCAACAAAUAAGGGAAGUGCAGUGGAAAAGGCUAGCCAGAGAUUUCCUCAAAUUAUGGACGGUGCGUUCCUCGGAGAGAUUGCGGAGCUUGUUUUCGGCUUGGAUUGAGCAGUACUGA
RNAcentral lists this ribosomal RNA (1611 nucleotides) under Triticum aestivum (bread wheat). RNAcentral's name for it is "partial small subunit ribosomal RNA". Lineage: Eukaryota; Viridiplantae; Streptophyta; Magnoliopsida; Poales; Poaceae. The record is from RNAcentral.